Molecule: ribosomal RNA, 869 nt
Filed under: human gut metagenome
Description: bacterial LSU rRNA
Rfam family: Bacterial large subunit ribosomal RNA
Source: RNAcentral
CCUAAGGUAGCGAAAUUCCUUGUCGGGUAAGUUCCGACCUGCACGAAUGGCGUAAUGAUGGCCAGGCUGUCUCCACCCGAGACUCAGUGAAAUUGAACUCGCUGUGAAGAUGCAGUGUACCCGCGGCAAGACGGAAAGACCCCGUGAACCUUUACUAUAGCUUGACACUGAACACUGGUCCUUGAUGUGUAGGAUAGGUGGGAGGCUUUGAAGCGUGGACGCCAGUCUGCGUGGAGCCAACCUUGAAAUACCACCCUUUAAUGGCUGGUGUUCUAACGUAGACCCGUAAUCCGGGUUGCGGACAGUGUCUGGUGGGUAGUUUGACUGGGGCGGUCUCCUCCCAAAGAGUAACGGAGGAGCACGAAGGUUGGCUAAUCCUGGUCGGACAUCAGGAGGUUAGUGCAAUGGCAUAAGCCAGCUUGACUGCGAGCGUGACGGCGCGAGCAGGUGCGAAAGCAGGUCAUAGUGAUCCGGUGGUUCUGAAUGGAAGGGCCAUCGCUCAACGGAUAAAAGGUACUCCGGGGAUAACAGGCUGAUACCGCCCAAGAGUUCAUAUCGACGGCGGUGUUUGGCACCUCGAUGUCGGCUCAUCACAUCCUGGGGCUGAAGUAGGUCCCAAGGGUAUGGCUGUUCGCCAUUUAAAGUGGUACGCGAGCUGGGUUUAGAACGUCGUGAGACAGUUCGGUCCCUAUCUGCCGUGGGCGCUGGAGAAUUGAGGGGGGCUGCUCCUAGUACGAGAGGACCGGAGUGGACGCAUCACUGGUGUUCGGGUUGUCAUGCCAAUGGCACUGCCCGGUAGCUAAAUGCGGAAAAGAUAAGUGCUGAAAGCAUCUAAGCACGAAACUUGCCCCGAGAUGAGUUCUCCCUGA